CCUACGGGUGGCUGCAGUGGGGAAUAUUGGACAAUGGGCGAAAGCCUGAUCCAGCCAUGCCGCGUGUGUGAAGAAGGCCUUCGGGUUGUAAAGCACUUUCAGUGGGGAAGAAAGCCUUGGGGCUAAUACCCUCGAGGAAGGACAUCACCCACAGAAGAAGCACCGGCUAACUCCGUGCCAGCAGCCGCGGUAAUACGGAGGGUGCGAGCGUUAAUCGGAAUUACUGGGCGUAAAGCGCGCGUAGGCGGUCUGAUAAGCCGGUUGUGAAAGCCCCGGGCUCAACCUGGGAACGGCAUCCGGAACUGUCAGGCUAGAGUGCAGGAGAGGACGGUAGAAUUCCCGGUGUAGCGGUGAAAUGCGUAGAGAUCGGGAGGAAUACCAGUGGCGAAGGCGGCCUUCUGGACUGACACUGACGCUGAGGUGCGAAAGCGUGGGUAGCAAACAGGAUUAGAUACCCCAGUAGUC
RNAcentral lists this ribosomal RNA (465 nucleotides) under Vreelandella stevensii. RNAcentral describes it as "partial 16S ribosomal RNA". It matches the Rfam family "Bacterial small subunit ribosomal RNA", at positions 338 to 795 of the family's 1533-position model. The record is from RNAcentral. Lineage: Bacteria; Pseudomonadati; Pseudomonadota; Gammaproteobacteria; Oceanospirillales; Halomonadaceae.